Molecule: long non-coding RNA, 470 nt
Organism: Chinchilla lanigera (long-tailed chinchilla)
Lineage: Eukaryota; Metazoa; Chordata; Mammalia; Rodentia; Chinchillidae
Exons: 3
Source: RefSeq, a predicted model, not a curated record
UGCAGGGACCUGAGAAACAGGGGAUCUCAUCAAAUUUAAAUAGUCCUACAAUCUCCUUUCAGAACUUAAACAUUUCACAUAUAAUUAAUCAAUAUGGGAGGACUGGAUUUGGCUAUAAAAUCAGAAAAUGAGGGUAGACUGCACAAUAGAGUCUCCUGGAACUUGAGUUUGGUGAUGGCAUCAGGUAAAGACACAAGGUAGAAGAAAUGAAGUGCACUGCACUGAGUUUUGUGAAAGAGCGAGGAGACAAGGUUCUUAGUGUUAAUCUUGCUUUGUCAAAAAGAUGUUAUCUUCCCAGCAGCAUCAUGUUAUCAAAGAUAUGAACCUUAAAUCAACAGCUGUUACACCUCCAGCAAGUUAUGAAUUUUUCCUGAUUUAUAGCAAUCACUCUUUUUAUUUCUUUUCUCAGUCAAGCAGGGAAAUUAAGGUUAUUUUCAUGUAAAAGACACAUACAUUAUGGCUUGGUAUUU